UCGGGAAUUUUGGGCAAUGGGCGAAAGCCUGACCCAGCAACGCCGCGUGAAGGAUGAAGUAUUUCGGUAUGUAAACUUCGUAAGAAUAGGAAGAAUAAAUGACGGUACUAUUUGUAAGGUCCGGCUAACUACGUGCCAGCAGCCGCGGUAAUACGUAGGGACCAAGCGUUGUUCGGAUUUACUGGGCGUAAAGGGCGCGUAGGCGGUUUGUCAAGUCAGUUGUGAAAUCUCCGAGCUUAACUCGGAACGGUCAACUGAUACUGUCAAACUAGAGUACAGAAGGGGCAAUCGGAAUUCUUGGUGUAGCGGUGAAAUGCGUAGAUAUCGGGAGGAACACCUGUGGCGAAGGCGGCCACCUGGUUGGAUACUGACGCUGAGACGCGAAAGCGUGGGGAGCAAACAGGAUUAGAUACCCCCGUAGUCCCUGAGCGGGCUGGCAAGGCGCAU
RNAcentral lists this ribosomal RNA (447 nucleotides) under uncultured bacterium. RNAcentral's name for it is "bacterial SSU rRNA". It matches the Rfam family "Bacterial small subunit ribosomal RNA", at positions 355 to 825 of the family's 1533-position model. The record is from RNAcentral.